GUGCUCGCUUCUGUAGCACAAAUACUAAAAUUGGAACAACACAGAGAAGACCAGCGUGGCCCCUGCACGAGGGUGACAUGCAAAUUCGUGAAGCGUUCCACAGUAGG
Small nuclear RNA from Suricata suricatta (meerkat), 107 nucleotides. NCBI's taxonomy places the organism in Eukaryota, Metazoa, Chordata, Mammalia, Carnivora, Herpestidae. The record is from Ensembl.